This is a non-coding RNA of Chaetura pelagica (chimney swift), 279 nucleotides long. The record is from the annotation of a RefSeq genome assembly. NCBI's taxonomy places the organism in Eukaryota, Metazoa, Chordata, Aves, Apodiformes, Apodidae.
AUGGCCUGGGCCCCUCCCCUCCUCGCGGUGCUCGCCCACAGCUCAGGUUCCCUGGUCCAGGCAGCGCUGACUCAGCCGCCCUCGGUGUCGGCGAACCCGGGAGAAACCGUCCAGAUCACCUGCUCUGGGAGUACCAACAGCUAUAUCUCUGGGGUCCAAGCCGAGGACGAGGCUGUCUAUUACUGUGGUGGCUAUGAAACUGGUGGUGACGCUGCCACAGUGACACAGAGCAGUGGGGAAGUGAUACAAAAACCUCCUGCCACCCCAGGGGACACUUAG